This 254-nucleotide ribosomal RNA is filed under the name uncultured bacterium. RNAcentral's name for it is "partial 16S ribosomal RNA". It matches the Rfam family "Bacterial small subunit ribosomal RNA", at positions 524 to 776 of the family's 1533-position model. The record is from RNAcentral.
UACAGAGGUCCCAAGCGUUGUUCGGAUUCACUGGGCGUAAAGGGUGCGUAGGCGGUUUCGUAAGUCGGAUGUGAAAACUCCAGGCUCAACUUGGAGACGCCAUUCGAUACUGCGAUGACUAGAGUCAGGUAGGGGAGAACGGAAUUCCUGGUGUAGCGGUGAAAUGCGCAGAUAUCAGGAGGAACACCGGUGGCGAAGGCGGUUCUCUGGGCCUGUACUGACGCUGAGGAACGAAAGCGUGGGGAGCGAACAGG